This 91-nucleotide small RNA is filed under the name Mytilus galloprovincialis (Mediterranean mussel). Lineage: Eukaryota; Metazoa; Mollusca; Bivalvia; Mytilida; Mytilidae. The record is from RNAcentral.
GUGAGAAUUAGAUAUCGAUUGAUAUCAACUCGAGUUAUUUAAUUUCAAUAAUAAAUAACGAGAGUUGAUAUCAAGCGAUAUCUAAUUCUCA